UAAAACGUAGGAGGCGAGCGUUAUCCGGAUUUACUGGGUGUAAAGCGCGUGCAGGCGGCGGGCUAAGUUGGAUGUGAAAGCUCCUGGCUCAACUGGGAGAGGUCGUUCAAAACUGGCUGGCUAGAGCGUGGUAAGGGAAGGUGGAAUUCCGGGAGUAGUGGUGAAAUGCGUAGAUAUCCGGAGGAACACCAGUGGCGAAGGCGGCCUUCUGGACCACGGCUGACGCUCAGACGCGAAAGCUAGGGUAGCAAACGGG
This 256-nucleotide ribosomal RNA is filed under the name uncultured bacterium. RNAcentral describes it as "partial 16S ribosomal RNA". It matches the Rfam family "Bacterial small subunit ribosomal RNA", at positions 521 to 776 of the family's 1533-position model. The record is from RNAcentral.